GGUGCUGCUGGUUUGUAGCUCAUAUGUAACAUUUGCAUGCAAGACACUGGCUCAAAUACAUCUGACUUAUGUGAUAGAACCUGGUGUAUGCAUUUUAAUGUCUUCUUGAGAGCAUGAAACAGUGAUUUUUUUUCUUCCUCAUCAUGAGCUUAUGGAUGUUUCUAACAGUACUACUAAAUAGCAUCCUUUCCAUUUUACAGGUGUAGAAACCAAGACCCUCCGGACCCAGGCUGAUGAUGACUGCCUUGAAGAGACACAACCACUGUUGAUAAACAGGUAUAAACCAUGGACAACUCCAGCAGGUGCGCACCAGGAGAGAGAACCGCAUAUGUGAAUCUCCACUGCAGCUCUCUAUUACAGCAAGAAAUGUGAAAGCCUAAACUCCAGUGUUCAGGAGACCAGAUAGGGAAUGGACUGUGGCCACUCAGGAAUAUAUUGGCACCAGCUCUCCGAAGAAUCUCUGAGGCACGCUGAUUUUCAGAGAUAAUUGAAGACGCUGGAUGUGCAGCCGGCCCCCACCACCUCUGUCUCCACGUAAGGUUGAAAGCAGGUCAGCUCUUUGUUCAUGGAUGGAAACACUCAGAACAUGAAGUAUCAUUUAAACCUCCCUCAUAUAAUAAAUUUCCAUCCUCCUUCUA
This is a long non-coding RNA of Neofelis nebulosa (Clouded leopard), 638 nucleotides long. RefSeq lists it as uncharacterized. The record is from RefSeq and is a predicted model, not a curated record. Lineage: Eukaryota; Metazoa; Chordata; Mammalia; Carnivora; Felidae. The transcript is spliced from 3 exons.